UGGGGAAUAUUGCGCAAUGGGCGAAAGCCUGACGCAGCGACGCCGCGUGAGGGAUGAAGGUUUUCGGAUCGUAAACCUCUGUCAGAAGGGAAGAAACCGCACUGUGCUAAUCAGCAGUGCCUUGACGGUACCUUCAAAGGAAGCACCGGCUAACUCCGUGCCAGCAGCCGCGGUAAUACGGAGGGUGCAAGCGUUAAUCGGAAUUACUGGGCGUAAAGCGAACGUAGGCUGCUUUGUAAGUCAGGGGUGAAAUCCCACGGCUCAACCGUGGAACUGCCUUUGAUACUGCUUAGCUUGAAUCCGGGAGAGGGUGGCGGAAUUCCAGGUGUAGGAGUGAAAUCCGUAGAUAUCUGGAGGAACAUCAGUGGCGAAGGCGGCCACCUGGACCGGUAUUGACGCUGAGGUGCGAAAGCGUGGGGAGCAAACAGG
RNAcentral lists this ribosomal RNA (429 nucleotides) under Fusobacteriota bacterium. RNAcentral describes it as "Fusobacteria bacterium partial 16S ribosomal RNA". It matches the Rfam family "Bacterial small subunit ribosomal RNA", at positions 355 to 776 of the family's 1533-position model. The record is from RNAcentral. Lineage: Bacteria; Fusobacteriati; Fusobacteriota.